GACGAACGCUGGCGGCGUGCCUAAUACAUGCAAGUAGAACGCUGAAGGAGGAGCUUGCUUCUCUGGAUGAGUUGCGAACGGGUGAGUAACGCGUAGGUAACCUGCCUGGUAGCGGGGGAUAACUAUUGGAAACGAUAGCUAAUACCGCAUAAUAGUAGAUGUUGCAUGACAUUUGCUUAAAAGGUGCAAUUGCAUCACUACCAGAUGGACCUGCGUUGUAUUAGCUAGUUGGUGGGGUAACGGCUCACCAAGGCGACGAUACAUAGCCGACCUGAGAGGGUGAUCGGCCACACUGGGACCGAGACACGGCCCAGACUCCUACGGGAGGCAGCAGUAGGGAAUCUUCGGCAAUGGACGGAAGUCUGACCGAGCAACGCCGCGUGAGUGAAGAAGGGUUUCGGAUCGUAAAGCUCUGUUGUAAGAGAAGAACGAGUGUGAGAGUGGAAAGUUCACACUGUGACGGUAUCUUACCAGAAAGGGACGGCUAACUACGUG
RNAcentral lists this ribosomal RNA (495 nucleotides) under uncultured bacterium. RNAcentral describes it as "partial 16S ribosomal RNA". It matches the Rfam family "Bacterial small subunit ribosomal RNA", at positions 28 to 507 of the family's 1533-position model. The record is from RNAcentral.